This 492-nucleotide ribosomal RNA is filed under the name uncultured bacterium. RNAcentral describes it as "partial 16S ribosomal RNA". It matches the Rfam family "Bacterial small subunit ribosomal RNA", at positions 29 to 507 of the family's 1533-position model. The record is from RNAcentral.
AGUGAACGCUGGCGGUAGGCCUAAUACAUGCAAGUCGAACGGCAGCACAGUAAGAGCUCGCUCUUACGGGUGGCGAGUGGCGGACGGGUGAGACAUACAUCAGAAUCUACUUUUACGUGGGGGAUAACGUGGGGAAACUUACGCUAAUACCGCAUACGACCUACGGGUGAAAUCAGGAGUUCUUCGGACUUUGCCCGACUCAAUGAGCUGAUGUCGGAUUAGCUAGUUGGCGAGGUAAAGGCACACCAAGGCGACGAUCCGUAGCUGGUCUGAGAGGAUGAUCAGCCACACUGGAACUGAGACACGGUCCAGACUCCUACGGGAGGCAGCAGUGGGGAAUAUUCCACAAUGGGCGCAAGCCUGACCCAGCCAUACCGCGUGAGUGAUGAAGGUCUUCGGGUCGUAAAGCCCUUUUGUUAGGAAAGAAAAGCAGUAUAAUAAUCCACGGCUGUUCUGACGGUACCUAAUGAGUAAGCACCGGCUAACUUCGUG